AGCCGGCGGCCUGCCGCUGCGGCCGGACCAGCACUGGGAGGUGGAGCGGAAGCAGCAGCUGGCUCAGUCCAUCCGACUGCUGCAGCAGAAGGCGCGGCUGGCUGGCAUGCCGGCCCGUCCGACCGCCCCUCUGCCGGUCUCUGGCGGACCGCCGGAGCCGAUGGCGCGUCCGAGUCCUCGAGCACAGGUGGAUUGGAACCACUCAAGCUCUCACCCAGGAAAGCAGAGUACGCUGCCAGUCAACCAGUCCUCAGCUGAGCGCCAGGCAGCAGUCCAGGCCGGUCAGGCAGCAGUCUGCCGGCCCACCCAACCGUCGACCACAGGGUUGACCAGUCGUUGGGCGGCGACGGCCAGUCAGCCGGCAGGACUAGCGCCCCAAGCGCCAGCCGGCCAGAUCCCGGACAGUGGCGUCAGCCAGCCACAGGCUGCCGCGUCGGCCGCCCAGGGGACUGUGUUCGCCAGUGCCGCGGCGGCCGGGAGCGGCCAGUCAGCGGCGCUGCUUAGUCAGGCUGGCUCGCCGUUGGGCCGGGAGCGCGCGACGUCGCUCGGGCGAGCGGCCGCGGCCGCCAUUCCGGCCUCUC
Long non-coding RNA from Pollicipes pollicipes, 581 nucleotides. RefSeq lists it as uncharacterized. NCBI's taxonomy places the organism in Eukaryota, Metazoa, Arthropoda, Thecostraca, Pollicipedomorpha, Pollicipedidae. The transcript is spliced from 3 exons. The record is from RefSeq and is a predicted model, not a curated record.